This 24-nucleotide non-coding RNA is filed under the name Arabidopsis thaliana (thale cress). The record is from RNAcentral. Lineage: Eukaryota; Viridiplantae; Streptophyta; Magnoliopsida; Brassicales; Brassicaceae.
ACUUUGCAUUUAUCGUAUGCUUGA